GAAGCCUUGGACAGAGAUGGAGACUUUGAAAAAGUCUGAUGUUUUUUAGUUUCUACAUGUUUUUAUUUGAUGCGGAAAGGAAACUGCGUAUCCUCUGCACUGGUGGGAUGACUCACCUGAACAGGUUGAGGGUUUUGUGUUCCAGCAUUAGGCUGCUGUUCCCGCUCAGGUCGAGUUCCUGCAAAGUGGCUGGGACCGAAUCAGGCAGCAGUAUUUCAUGAUUGGGGGGAGCAUUUAAGGAGGAGCGUGAGGAUGUGUGUGUGUCUGUGUGUGUGUGUGUGUGUGUGUGUGUGUGUGUGUGUGUGUGUGUGUGUGUGCGGAGAACGAGUGACUGAGGCACUGAGCACAGAGCAAAUAUAUAAAAUAAAGAAAUUUGUGUUGAUUCUGAAACUGUCCUGUUGUGGCGUUCCUUUUCUCGACCCAUACGCUCUUCCACAAUAAGUAUCAUUAUUGUUGGGUAGCUAAUUAUUUUAUCAAUAGCACAUAUAAUAAGUAAUAUUACAAGCUUUAACAUACAGAUAGUAUAAAUCCCCAUGUAUGUGCUCCAGAACAUCUGAUCACAUGCACAUUAUCAAUUUGUGCUGGUAAUAUCAUGAACAGCAGCUACGCUAAUUGCUCUCCACUGCUUCUCUUUCUCCCCCCAUCCCGA
This is a long non-coding RNA of Silurus meridionalis, 649 nucleotides long. RefSeq lists it as uncharacterized. The record is from RefSeq and is a predicted model, not a curated record. Lineage: Eukaryota; Metazoa; Chordata; Actinopteri; Siluriformes; Siluridae. The transcript is spliced from 3 exons.